CCUACGUGAGGCAGCAGUGGGGGAUAUUGCACAAUGGGGGAAACCCUGAUGCAGCGACGCCGCGUGUGGGAAGACGGUCCUCUGGAUUGUCAACCACUGUCCCCAGGGACGAAGAUGACGGUACCUGGGGAGGAAGCUCCGGCUAACUACGUGCCAGCAGCCGCGGUAAUACGUAGGGAGCGAGCGUUGUCCGGAAUUACUGGGUGUAAAGGGAGCGUAGGCGGGACUGCAAGUUGGGUGUCAAAUCUACCGGCUCAACCGGUAGCCGCACUCAAAACUGCAGUUCUUGAGUGAAGUAGAGGCAGGCGGAAUUCCUAGUGUAGCGGUGAAAUGCGUAGAUAUUAGGAGGAACACCAGUGGCGAAGGCGGCCUGCUGGGCUUUUACUGACGCUGAGGCUCGAAAGUGUGGGGAGCAAACAGGAUUAGAUACCCUAGUAGUC
RNAcentral lists this ribosomal RNA (440 nucleotides) under uncultured bacterium. RNAcentral describes it as "partial 16S ribosomal RNA". It matches the Rfam family "Bacterial small subunit ribosomal RNA", at positions 338 to 795 of the family's 1533-position model. The record is from RNAcentral.